This 460-nucleotide ribosomal RNA is filed under the name uncultured bacterium. Its description in RNAcentral is "partial 16S ribosomal RNA". It matches the Rfam family "Bacterial small subunit ribosomal RNA", at positions 338 to 795 of the family's 1533-position model. The record is from RNAcentral.
CCUACGGGGGGCAGCAGUGAGGAAUAUUGGUCAAUGGGCGCGAGCCUGAACCAGCCAAGUCGCGUGAGGGAAGACGGUCCUAUGGAUUGUAAACCUCUUUUGUCGGGGAGCAAAAGACGCCACGCGUGGCGUUCCGAGAGUACCCGAAGAAAAAGCAUCGGCUAACUCCGUGCCAGCAGCCGCGGUAAUACGGAGGAUGCGAGCGUUAUCCGGAUUUAUUGGGUGUAAAGGGCGUGUAGGCGGGAGCGCAAGUCAGAUGUGAAAACUCAGGGCUCAACCCUGAGCCUGCAUUUGAAACUGUGUUUCUUGAGUGAGUGAGAAGUAUGCGGAAUGCGUGGUGUAGCGGUGAAAUGCAUAGAUAUCACGCAGAACUCCGAUUGCGAAGGCAGCAUACCGGCGCUCAACUGACGCUCAUGCACGAAAGUGUGGGUAUCGAACAGGAUUAGAUACCCGAGUAGUC